CACGUAGGCGGCUAUUCAAGUCAGAGGUGAAAGCCCGGGGCUCAACCCCGGAACUGCCUUUGAAACUAGAUAGCUUGAAUCCAGGAGAGGUGUGUGGAACUCCGAGUGUAGAGGUGAAAUUCGUAGAUAUUCGGAAGAACACCAGUGGCGAAGGCGACACACUGGCUCAUUACUGACGCUGAGGCUCGAAAGCGUGGGGAGCAAACA
Molecule: ribosomal RNA, 207 nt
Filed under: uncultured bacterium
Lineage: Bacteria
Description: partial 16S ribosomal RNA
Rfam family: Bacterial small subunit ribosomal RNA
Source: RNAcentral